Molecule: ribosomal RNA, 253 nt
Filed under: uncultured bacterium
Lineage: Bacteria
Description: partial 16S ribosomal RNA
Rfam family: Bacterial small subunit ribosomal RNA
Source: RNAcentral
UACGUAGGGUGCGAGCGUUGUCCGGAAUUAUUGGGCGUAAAGGGCUCGUAGGCGGCUUGUCGCGUCUGCUGUGAAAGCUCGGGGCUCAACCCCGGGUCUGCAGUGGAUACGGGCAGGCUAGAGUCCGGCAGGGGAGACUGGAAUUCCUGGUGUAGCGGUGGAAUGCGCAGAUAUCAGGAGGAACACCGGUGGCGAAGGCGGGUCUCUGGGCCGGUACUGACGCUGAGGAGCGAAAGCGUGGGGAGCGAACAGG